GAAUGGGAGGGCAACCUGUCUUUGAAUCUAUCACCCCAUUGGUUUCCAGGGCUGAUUCUGUUGAUCUAGCUGGCUAGGUAGCGUCUCCUUCCUUCCUCACCACUCGGUGAUCAUCCCUCCUAAAGCUGCUCACUUGGUCAAAGAGGACAACUUUCCCUGGAGAGGAGGACCCGUGCUCGGUCAAAGGCAUAUACCUAGCUGUGCUCUCUCCUUCUAGAACCUCCAAACAAUCUCUCAGUGAAAACAAACUCAGUGCAUGCCAGAUGUGUGAGAAGGGAUGACUAGAUUAAGACAGAGGACUUUGAGAGGAAUGAAAUUC
This 319-nucleotide small nuclear RNA is filed under the name Nannospalax galili (Upper Galilee mountains blind mole rat). RNAcentral describes it as "7SK RNA (ENSNGAG00000008023.1)". It matches the Rfam family "7SK RNA". From Rfam's summary of the family: 7SK was discovered as an abundant small nuclear RNA in the mid-70s but a possible function has only recently been suggested. Two independent studies have found that 7SK RNA binds the CDK9/cyclin T complex (known as elongation factor P-TEFb). Lineage: Eukaryota; Metazoa; Chordata; Mammalia; Rodentia; Spalacidae. The record is from RNAcentral.